AUGUAUAUAUAAUAUUACUCAAAUCAUUGAAAAUCUCUAGCUUUAACACAAGGGUUGAAAUGUGAAAGGUAAUGUGUCCAUUUUACAAUGUAUUGUUUAUUUGGCACACGCAACACCUUAACUAUAUGUUUCAGGUUUUACACAAUCAUUCGGAGUCUUCCUGAUGUUCCAUAGCAUCCUGUCCUUCUAGCUCUGGAAUUUCGUAACUAUUUAGAACCUUGUCAAAUAAAAACUGCCUUUUGAGUAUACCGUAUUUCAAAGCUUCCUCCUUGUCGUACCCAUCUGUAUCAAUCAACCUAUUCACUGUCUUUUUAAUAGAUUUAUAAAUAGGAUCUUUUUUCAUUGCUUCAAAACCACACCACUUUACUACCAAAACUGUUCAUUAGUGCUUUCCUGUAGGUGCAUUUCAUGUUCCUGAAAGUCCUUUUCUUGGCUUCACUCAGACUGAUGUCGGUAUCAUCCUCCAUAAGCUCAUUUACCAUAGAGUCAUACUGCGACUGGCACUUUUGAAACGCUUCAUCUACAAUGUUGUCCCAAGGAUCGGUCAUCAAAGACUUCUCUGAGGUGGCAGAUGCGUCAUCUUCAAUGUCGCUAUGACUGGACUCAUUGUCUUCUAUGGGUCCAAAAAUAUCCUCUUCCAUCUAUAACACAUAUUUAAAAUUUUCCCUGGUUAAAAAACACACCCUAUAAUUAACUAGGUCAGCCUGUACAUGUGAAUUAAAGUGUUAGCAUAAAAUUGAUAAUUUGGAUACAAGAAUCUGGAUAUUCAUAGUUAAGUGUCUGUAGGGGAUUUAAAAGAUGAAAUGCCUUGUGGUUUUCUGAAAGAAUGUUUUCUCGGUUGGAAAUUGAAGUAUUCAUUAGAUACCGAAUUGUAAUCAAAGCACAGAAGGCGCUGAAUUUGUUUGGGUCUCAGAAUGUCAGAAAGGUGAAGGUUGUGAGAUUAUAAACCAACUUGUUUUUGUAUAGUGCCACCAAUGCUUUCAAGCGUUUUCAUUGUAGUAAAUCGGCUAUAAGACUAAUUGCAACACUGAUAUUCAAUCCAAUGUUUAUUUGACUUAAACAAUGUGGAAAUACAAAAUGAAAUGCCUUAACAGGGAUUUGAACUCCAGACCUCUCGCUUCCUAAGCGAGCGCGCUAACCCCUCGGCCACGGUGAAGUUAUAUAUUCACUGCUUGAAGAAAACCAUAUUAUUCUAAAUUAGGGUUUGUAAUCCUGAUUAUUUCGACGCUAACUGUUGUUUAACACAGAUGAAAAUAAUCAGGGAGCUUACUAUAAGCAUGUAUAUCUAUAAAGAAUAAAACAAUAUUAGAAAUCUUCGACCAUUCGGGAACUAUUUUGCUUAAAAAUUAAUGCGCCUGUCAUUUGACCAUUUUUACGCAGUGAUCUCCCCUGAAUUUUUCGGCGUUAGUGUACAUAUAAAAAGAAGUAACCACUUCAAAAAAGCGGACUACUUUCGGCAUUUGAAAUUAACAGCAUCAGACUCUGAAAUUUCGCUACCAUUAUUUGUUUGGUCUGACGACCCAAACAAAUAAAAACGAAAUUGCCUACGUGUAAAUAUUUUACAAGUUGGGAUCGGUGCUAACUUAUUUAAAAUUUACAAGUUGGGACUGGUGUAUAACAUAAAGCAUUGUAUUUUUCUUAUAAAAGAAUGACUAUGAUGAUUUUUUUCAAGUUUAAAUAAUUUUUUUUCUGUGAAAUGUUGAUGCAAAUAAAUUCAUGUUUGGAAUAUAAGUUCAUGCUAUAUAGUUUCUCCGCGAAUUUAUUAUGAAAAUAAAUUCAUAUCUGGAAUAUAUAAUUAAACGCAAUAUGGAAUUAUUACAACUGCAUCACAGACAAAGAUAAAAAAAAAGUGGUUUGUGGAAUUAAUAUAAUCCUACAAAAGAUAAAUGGUGGACCAUUUUAUUCUGGAAGAAUGAAGUAGUCAUCAACAACGUUGAAGAGGUGAAACUGAGGGACAUUCCACAAGGAGAAUAUGUUCACAUUUAAAGAUGUUCAAACGUGAUGUUUUAUACAGUGAAUAUACAGCGAACUUUUGUCUUUACUAUAAUAACUGAAAUAUUUAAUGCUGACAUUUUGUAAUAAAAUUUUAUAUUGGAUAAUGUACUGUUUUACUGUGCUAUUUACCUUAUUUUAAAGGAAGUAGACUUGUGGUUUUAGCGGGUGCCUCUUUAUAAAAAACAUUACCCUUUCUUUUUGCCUAUUCUGAGGUUAUACUAAAUCGUCGCCACGGAAUAAUACAAAAUACUUUAUUUGAGUUAGUAAAAUACUUAUACCUUUCACCGUGAUCAAUAAGAAGACUUUACAUAACCGUAUGAACACGAAACUGUUAAUUAAGUAGUUGUUGAAGUGUAAAAGCAAAAAUGUAGUACAAUGUGCGUUGUGGCGUGUAAUGUAAACGAAUAUUAAACUUUUACGUGAUGGGGAAUUAGGUGGAACUUUUAAGAACUUUUACGAUUACGUCUCUUUGCGUUUCGCAUAUUACUUUUCUUCCAAAUGUAUAUAAUAGCUGAAUAAGGCUAAUUGAAAGGCUAGUGUGUACAAUUUCAGCAUUGCUGCAUGUUAUCAUGCAUGAUGCACUGUAUGUAUUUCUAUUAUUAGCUUAUCAUUAUAAAAAAUAAUUUCGCUGAAAGUUAGUAAAAUAUCUUAAAGGGUGAUUUAAAUGUAAAUGAGGAUCAGAAAUCCUCGUGUUUUUAAAAUACAACAAAGCUGAGAAUUUAUUCGCUACUGUUUCAUUUCAAAGGUUAGCUGGAAAUUCUAAUAAUAGCAAUAGUAAAUUAAUUCAUUCUCGAUCAAACCCGAAAAUUCUCUCCCUACCUAAGGUGGCCACUUUAUAUAGAAUACAAAAGUGGUACACGUGCGUACGUCCUUAUUGUUCAAACGCCUGUUUCGAAACUUUCUUAUUUAUAACGUGGAAGCACUUGAAUAGGUAGAUCAAAUGAGAAAUGAAAGUUAAGUACUCAUUUGAGUAAUUCUGUGUUUGGGGUUCACAGAUAUUAAUAACGUCCCCCGCAUUUCUCAUUUC
This is a long non-coding RNA of Ruditapes philippinarum (Manila clam), 3022 nucleotides long. RefSeq lists it as uncharacterized. The transcript is spliced from 2 exons. NCBI's taxonomy places the organism in Eukaryota, Metazoa, Mollusca, Bivalvia, Venerida, Veneridae. The record is from RefSeq and is a predicted model, not a curated record.